GAUGAACGCUGGCGGCGUGCCUAACACAUGCAAGUCGAGCGAACAGACGACAGUGCUUGCACUCUCUGAGGUUAGCGGCGGACGGGGGAGUAACACGGUGGUAACCCACCUAUAAGAUUGGGAUAACCUCGGGAAACCGGAGCCUAUACCGGAUAAUAUUUAGCCUCGCACGAAGUAAUACUGAAAGACGGUUUUGCUGUCACGUGUAGAUGGACCCGCCGUGUAUUAGCGGGUUGGUGAGGUAACGGCUCCCCAAGGCGACGAUGCAUAGCCGACCUGAGGGGGUGAUCGACCACACUGGGACUGAGACGCGGCCCAGACUCCUACGGGAGGCAGCAGUAGGGAAUCUUCCGGAAUGAACGGAAGUCUGACGGAGCAAUGCCGCGUGGGUGAAGAAGGUUUUCGGAUCGUAGAGCUCUGUUGUAGGGGAAGAACAAGUACGUUAGUAACUGAACGUGCCUUGACGGUACCUGGACAGAAAGCCACGGCUAACUACGUG
Molecule: ribosomal RNA, 499 nt
Filed under: uncultured bacterium
Lineage: Bacteria
Description: partial 16S ribosomal RNA
Rfam family: Bacterial small subunit ribosomal RNA
Source: RNAcentral